RNAcentral lists this ribosomal RNA (1507 nucleotides) under Lactiplantibacillus pentosus. RNAcentral's name for it is "partial 16S ribosomal RNA". It matches the Rfam family "Bacterial small subunit ribosomal RNA". Lineage: Bacteria; Bacillati; Bacillota; Bacilli; Lactobacillales; Lactobacillaceae. The record is from RNAcentral.
AGUUUGAUCCUGGCUCAGGACGAACGCUGGCGGCGUGCCUAAUACAUGCAAGUCGAACGAACUCUGGUAUUGAUUGGUGCUUGCAUCAUGAUUUACAUUUGAGUGAGUGGCGAACUGGUGAGAAACACGUGGGAAACCUGCCCAGAAGCGGGGGAUAACACCUGGAAACAGAUGCUAAUACCGCAUAACAACUUGGACCGCAUGGUCCGAGUUUGAAAGAUGGCUUCGGCUAUCACUUUUGGAUGGUCCCGCGGCGUAUUAGCUAGAUGGUGGGGUAACGGCUCACCAUGGCAAUGAUACGUAGCCGACCUGAGAGGGUAAUCGGCCACAUUGGGACUGAGACACGGCCCAAACUUCUACGGGAGGCAGCAGUAGGGAAUCUUCCACAAUGGACGAAAGUCUGAUGGAGCAACGCCGCGUGAGUGAAGAAGGGUUUCGGCUCGUAAAACUCUGUUGUUAAAGAAGAACAUAUCUGAGAGUAACUGUUCAGGUAUUGACGGUAUUUAACCAGAAAGCCACGGCUAACUACGUGCCAGCAGCCGCGGUAAUACGUAGGUGGCAAGCGUUGUCCGGAUUUAUUGGGCGUAAAGCGAGCGCAGGCGGUUUUUUAAGUCUGAUGUGAAAGCCUUCGGCUCAACCGAAGAAGUGCAUCGGAAACUGGGAAACUUGAGUGCAGAAGAGGACAGUGGAACUCCAUGUGUAGCGGUGAAAUGCGUAGAUAUAUGGAAGAACACCAGUGGCGAAGGCGGCUGUCUGGUCUGUAACUGACGCUGAGGCUCGAAAGUAUGGGUAGCAAACAGGAUUAGAUACCCUGGUAGUCCAUACCGUAAACGAUGAAUGCUAAGUGUUGGAGGGUUUCCGCCCUUCAGUGCUGCAGCUAACGCAUUAAGCAUUCCGCCUGGGGAGUACGGCCGCAAGGCUGAAACUCAAAGGAAUUGACGGGGGCCCGCACAAGCGGUGGAGCAUGUGGUUUAAUUCGAAGCUACGCGAAGAACCUUACCAGGUCUUGACAUACUAUGCAAAUCUAAGAGAUUAGACGUUCCCUUCGGGGACAUGGAUACAGGUGGUGCAUGGUUGUCGUCAGCUCGUGUCGUGAGAUGUUGGGUUAAGUCCCGCAACGAGCGCAACCCUUAUUAUCAGUUGCCAGCAUUAAGUUGGGCACUCUGGUGAGACUGCCGGUGACAAACCGGAGGAAGGUGGGGAUGACGUCAAAUCAUCAUGCCCCUUAUGACCUGGGCUACACACGUGCUACAAUGGAUGGUACAACGAGUUGCGAACUCGCGAGAGUAAGCUAAUCUCUUAAAGCCAUUCUCAGUUCGGAUUGUAGGCUGCAACUCGCCUACAUGAAGUCGGAAUCGCUAGUAAUCGCGGAUCAGCAUGCCGCGGUGAAUACGUUCCCGGGCCUUGUACACACCGCCCGUCACACCAUGAGAGUUUGUAACACCCAAAGUCGGUGGGGUAACCUUUUAGGAACCAGCCGCCUAAGGUGGGACAGAUGAUUAGGGUG